ACGUGGGCGUGGACGUGGGCGUGGUUGUGGACGCGGGCGUGGACGUGGACAUGGGCAUGGACGUGGGGGGUCUCACACCCUUCGCUCUCUUCCUGCCCAGUGCCGACGGGGACUUCGCGGUCACCCACCUGACCAAGGCCCACCUGUUCCAUGACGGGCGGGUGCAGUGGACUCCCCCGGCCAUUUACAAGAGCUCCUGCAGCAUCGACGUCACCUUCUUCCCCUUUGACCAGCAGAACUGCACCAUGAAAUUCGGCUCCUGGACCUACGACAAGGCCAAGAUCGACCUGGUGAACAUGCACAGCCGCGUGGACCAGCUGGACUUCUGGGAGAGUGGUGAGUGGGUCAUCGUGGACGCCGUGGGCACCUACAACACCAGGAAGUAUGAGUGCUGUGCCGAGAUCUACCCAGACAUCACCUACGCCUUCGUCAUCCGGCGGCUGCCGCUCUUCUACACCAUCAACCUCAUCAUCCCCUGCCUGCUCAUCUCCUGCCUCACCGUGCUGGUCUUCUACCUGCCCUCUGAGUGCGGCGAGAAGAUCACACUGUGCAUCUCCGUGCUGCUGUCACUCACCGUCUUCCUGCUGCUCAUCACCGAGAUCAUCCCGUCCACCUCACUGGUCAUCCCGCUCAUUGGCGAGUACCUGCUGUUCACCAUGAUUUUCGUCACCCUGUCCAUCGUCAUCACGGUCUUCGUGCUCAAUGUGCACCACCGCUCGCCGCGCACGCACACCAUGCCCACCUGGGUACGCAGGGUCUUCCUGGACAUCGUGCCGCGCCUGCUCCUCAUGAAGCGGCCGUCCGUGGUCAAGGACAAUUGCCGGCGGCUCAUCGAGUCCAUGCACAAGAUGGCCAGUGCCCCGCGCUUCUGGCCCGAGCCAGAGGGGGAGCCCCCCGCCACGAGCGGCACCCAGAGCCGGCAUCCGCCCUCACCGUCCUUCUGCGUCCCCCUGGAUGUGCCAGCUGAGCCUGGGCCUGCCUGCAAGUCAUCCUCCGACCAGCUCCCUGCUCUGCAGCCCCCAGAAGCUGAGAAAGCCAGCCCCCACCCCUCGCCUGGACCCUGCCACCCACCCCACAGCACCCAGGCACCAGGGCUGGCCAAAGCCAGGUCCCUCAGCGUCCAGCACAUGUCCAGCCCUGGCGAAGCAGUAGAAGGCGGCGUCCGGUGCCGGUCUCGGAGCAUCCAGUACUGUGUUCCCCGAGACGAUGCUGCCCCCGAGGCAGAUGGCCAGGCUGCCGGCGCCCUGGCCUCUCGCAAGACCUACUCGGCUGAGCUCCCACCCCCAGACCAGCCCUCUCCGUGCAAAUGCACAUGCAAGAAGGAGCCCUCUUCGGUGUCCCCGAGCGCCACGGUCAAGGCCCGCAGCACCAAAGCGCUGCCCCGGCACCUGCCCCUGUCGCCGGCCCUGACCCGGGCGGUGGAGGGUGUCCAGUACAUUGCAGACCACCUGAAGGCCGAAGACACAGACUUCUCGGUAAGUCCUGCCCAUGGCUGUGUUGGGCGCCUCUGGCCCAGACAGAGCCAGCGGAUGCCCUCUCUUCUUGGUGCAUAAUCCAGGAGCCAGGCCCAGGCCCCAGGUUGCUUCACUCUGGGGUGCA
Molecule: small RNA, 1599 nt
Filed under: Pongo abelii (Sumatran orangutan)
Lineage: Eukaryota; Metazoa; Chordata; Mammalia; Primates; Hominidae
Description: retained intron
Source: RNAcentral